RNAcentral lists this ribosomal RNA (682 nucleotides) under Microbacterium petrolearium. Its description in RNAcentral is "bacterial SSU rRNA". It matches the Rfam family "Bacterial small subunit ribosomal RNA", at positions 60 to 752 of the family's 1533-position model. Lineage: Bacteria; Bacillati; Actinomycetota; Actinomycetes; Micrococcales; Microbacteriaceae. The record is from RNAcentral.
AGUCGAACGAUGAAGCUGGAGCUUGCUCUGGUGGAUUAGUGGCGAACGGGUGAGUAACACGUGAGCAACCUGCCCCUGACUCUGGGAUAACAGCCGGAAACGGCUGCUAAUACCGGAUAUGCACCAUGAACGCAUGUUCUGUGGUGGGAAAGAUUUUUCGGUUGGGGAUGGGCUCGCGGCCUAUCAGCUUGUUGGUGAGGUAAUGGCUCACCAAGGCGUCGACGGGUAGCCGGCCUGAGAGGGUGACCGGCCACACUGGGACUGAGACACGGCCCAGACUCCUACGGGAGGCAGCAGUGGGGAAUAUUGCACAAUGGGCGAAAGCCUGAUGCAGCAACGCCGCGUGAGGGAUGACGGCCUUCGGGUUGUAAACCUCUUUUAGCAGGGAAGAAGCGAGAGUGACGGUACCUGCAGAAAAAGCGCCGGCUAACUACGUGCCAGCAGCCGCGGUAAUACGUAGGGCGCAAGCGUUAUCCGGAAUUAUUGGGCGUAAAGAGCUCGUAGGCGGUUUGUCGCGUCUGCUGUGAAAACUGGAGGCUCAACCUCCAGCCUGCAGUGGGUACGGGCAGACUAGAGUGCGGUAGGGGAGAUUGGAAUUCCUGGUGUAGCGGUGGAAUGCGCAGAUAUCAGGAGGAACACCGAUGGCGAAGGCAGAUCUCUGGGCCGUAACUGACGCUGAGGA